Molecule: unclassified non-coding RNA, 264 nt
Filed under: Hevea brasiliensis (rubber tree)
Lineage: Eukaryota; Viridiplantae; Streptophyta; Magnoliopsida; Malpighiales; Euphorbiaceae
Source: RNAcentral
AGACAGUCUCUAGAAUCCAUAAAUUUACUGGUUUAGUCCAAACUAAUUAAAAGAAAAAAGAGAUGCAAACCUCUAGCACAUAAAAGAAUUGAACAUCAAUUUGACAAUGUUGCUUGAGGAUUGCAGAUGGAUGAGUCGUGUUCCUUGAUAAACCAAUCGAUAUCAAAGACACCAGUAUAUUAACUGAACUAAUAUUUUUUCAAUUAAAAUUCGAUAAGAGAAAAAAAAAACAAGAUUUAGCUCUCAACAAGUGCUUGAUGAGUA